This 389-nucleotide ribosomal RNA is filed under the name uncultured bacterium. RNAcentral describes it as "bacterial SSU rRNA". It matches the Rfam family "Bacterial small subunit ribosomal RNA", at positions 29 to 408 of the family's 1533-position model. The record is from RNAcentral.
AACGAACGCUGGCGGCGCGCUUAACACAUGCAAGUCGAACGAGAAGGCGUAGCAAUACGCUUGUACAGUGGCGAACGGGUGAGUAAUACGUGGGCGACCUACCCUCGAGUGGGGAAGUAACCCGCCGAAAGGCGGGCUAAUGCCGCGUACGCUUCCAUCUUUAUGGAGGUGGAAGGAAAGCCGUGCCGUGGGCACGGCGCUCAAGGAUGGGCUCACGUCCUAUCAGCUUGUUGGUAGGGAACGGCCUACCAAGGCUCCGACGGGUAGCUGGUCUGAGAGGACGAUCAGCCACACUGGCACUGCGACACGGGCCAGACUCCUACGGGAGGCAGCAGUGAGGAAUAUUGCGCAAUGGGCGAAAGCCUGACGCAGCGACGCCGCGUGGGGGA